UGCAAAGUCAACAUAUAGGAGGUCCUACCUGCCCAGUGACAAGUUUAAACGGCCGCGGUAUUUUGACCGUGCGAAGGUAGCGCAAUCACUUGUCUUUUAAAUGAAGACCUGUAUGAAUGGUGAAACGAGGGCUUAACUGUCUCCCCUUUCAAGUCAAUGAAAUUGAUCUGCCCGUGCAGAAGCGGACAUAAAAAUACAAGACGAGAAGACCCUUUGGAGCUUAAGAUACAAGAUCACCUAUGUCAAGGACACAACACACUAGUCAAACUAAAUAACAAUUGACCUUAAUCUUCGGUUGGGGCGACCACGGGAGAAAAUAAAGCUCCCAUGCGGACUGGGAUAAUCCCCUAAAAUCAAGAGAGACAUCUCUAAACAGCAGAACUUCUGACCAUAAAGACCCGGCUAUCUGCCGACCAACGAACCAAGUUACCCUAGGGAUAACAGCGCAAUCCCCUUUCAGAGUCCAUAUCGACAAGGGGGUUUACGACCUCGAUGUUGGAUCAGGACAUCCUAAUGGUGUAGCCGCUAUUAAGGGUUCG
This 539-nucleotide ribosomal RNA is filed under the name Exostoma labiatum. RNAcentral's name for it is "partial 16S ribosomal RNA". It matches the Rfam family "Bacterial large subunit ribosomal RNA", at positions 1832 to 2575 of the family's 2925-position model. Lineage: Eukaryota; Metazoa; Chordata; Actinopteri; Siluriformes; Sisoridae. The record is from RNAcentral.